This 288-nucleotide unclassified non-coding RNA is filed under the name Hevea brasiliensis (rubber tree). The record is from RNAcentral. Lineage: Eukaryota; Viridiplantae; Streptophyta; Magnoliopsida; Malpighiales; Euphorbiaceae.
AUAAAGUUUCUUUGGAUACAAACUUAAAAGAGCCUUUUUUUUUCUUUGUUAGGAUGAAUAUGAUGUUUAUGUAGGUGAGUUUUAUUGAGGUUGUUUGGAUCUCUUCCAAAGUGUUAAUGCCUAUGUUUAUUUCUAGUAUCAAGGCUGUCUGAUUGCUUGUUUCUUCCACUAGAUGUCACAAGAAGGUUCACUGUAUUUACUUCCUUUACUUUUAGAUUUCAAGUAGCCUCAACUUUGUAAAUGAAGAAAUGAUGAUGCAUUUGUGCUGAUAGUUGGCGAAUUUAUGAU